AUUCCUACGGGAGGCAGCAGUGGGGAAUAUUGGACAAUGGGCGGAAGCCUGAUCCAGCAACGCCGCGUGAGGGAUGACGGCCUUCGGGUUGUAAACCUCUUUCAGCACAGACGAAGCGCAAGUGACGGUAUGUGCAGAAGAAGGACUGGCCAACUACGUGCCAGCAGCCGCGGUAAUACGUAGGGUCCGAGCGUUGUCCGGAAUUAUUGGGCGUAAAGGGCUCGUAGGCGGUUUGUCGCGUCGGGAGUGAAAACACCGGGCUUAACUCGGUGCUUGCUUUCGAUACGGGCAGACUAGAGGCAUUCAGGGGAGAACGGAAUUCCUGGUGUAGCGGUGAAAUGCGCAGAUAUCAGGAGGAACACCGGUGGCGAAGGCGGUUCUCUGGGAAUGUCCUGACGCUGAGGAGCGAAAGUGUGGGGAGCGAACAGGAUUAGAUACCCUGGUAGUCCACACCGUAAACGUUGGGCGCUAGGUGUGGGAUCCAUUCCACGGGUUCCGUGCCGCAGCUAACGCAUUAAGCGCCCCGCCUGGGGAGUACGGCCGCAAGGCUAAAACUCAAAGGAAUUGACGGAAU
This 574-nucleotide ribosomal RNA is filed under the name uncultured bacterium. RNAcentral's name for it is "bacterial SSU rRNA". It matches the Rfam family "Bacterial small subunit ribosomal RNA", at positions 335 to 919 of the family's 1533-position model. The record is from RNAcentral.